UGCAACUUACCUUUUACUGGGGGAUAGCCUUCCGAAAGGGAGAUUAAUACCGCAUAAUAUCAUUGACUGGCAUCGGUUGGUGAUUAAAACUUUGGUGGUAAAAGAUGGGCAUGCGUCCGAUUAGCUAGUUGGCGGGGUAGUGGCCCACCAAGGCUGUGAUCGGUCGGGGACCUGAGAGGGCGAUCC
Molecule: ribosomal RNA, 186 nt
Filed under: uncultured Bacteroidota bacterium
Lineage: Bacteria; Pseudomonadati; Bacteroidota
Description: uncultured Bacteroidetes bacterium partial 16S ribosomal RNA
Rfam family: Bacterial small subunit ribosomal RNA
Source: RNAcentral